Molecule: transfer RNA, 63 nt
Filed under: Callipogon relictus
Lineage: Eukaryota; Metazoa; Arthropoda; Insecta; Coleoptera; Cerambycidae
Description: tRNA-Phe
Source: RNAcentral
AUCUAGAUAGCUUAUAUAGAGCACAAUACUGAAGAUAUUGGGGAAAUGAAUUAUUUCUAGGUA